RNAcentral lists this ribosomal RNA (1138 nucleotides) under uncultured fungus. RNAcentral describes it as "eukaryotic LSU rRNA". The stretch from base 505 to 1138 matches the Rfam family "Eukaryotic large subunit ribosomal RNA", at positions 1 to 649 of the family's 3401-position model. The record is from RNAcentral. Lineage: Eukaryota; Fungi.
AAAGUCGUAACAAGGUUUCCGUAGGUGAACCUGCGGAAGGAUCAUUACUGAGUUCAUGCCCUAACGGGUAGACCUCCCACCCUUGAAAAUUUACAUUUGUUGCUUUGGCGGGCCGCUUCGGCUUCCGACUUCGGUUGGUGAGUGCCCGCCAGAGGAUUUAAACCCUGUAUUAAGUGUCGUCUGAGUACUACAUAAUAGUUAAAACUUUCAACAACGGAUCUCUUGGUUCUGGCAUCGAUGAAGAACGCAGCGAAAUGCGAUAAGUAAUGUGAAUUGCAGAAUUCAGUGAAUCAUCGAAUCUUUGAACGCACAUUGCGCCCCUUGGUAUUCCGGGGGGCAUGCCUGUUCGAGCGUCAUUAAAACCCUUCAAGCUUAGCUUGGUGUUGGAGCCUGCCGAUCGGCAGCUCUUAAAAUCAGUGGCGGUGCCUGCUGGCUCUAAGCGUAGUAAUACUCCUCGCUAUUGGGUCCGUGGGCGUCUUGCCAAAACCCCUAAUUUUCUAUGGUUGACCUCGGAUCAGGUAGGGAUACCCGCUGAACUUAAGCAUAUCAAUAAGCGGAGGAAAAGAAACCAACAGGGAUUGCCUCAGUAACGGCGAGUGAAGCGGCAACAGCUCAAAUUUGAAAUCUGGCUCUUUCAGGGUCCGAGUUGUAAUUUGUAGAAGAUGCUUUGGGUGUGGUACCGGUUUAAGUUCCUUGGAACAGGACGUCAUAGAGGGUGAGAAUCCCGUAUGUGACCGGCCGCCUUCGCCUAUGUAAAGCUCUUUCGACGAGUCGAGUUGUUUGGGAAUGCAGCUCAAAAUGGGUGGUAAAUUUCAUCUAAAGCUAAAUAUUGGCCAGAGACCGAUAGCGCACAAGUAGAGUGAUCGAAAGAUGAAAAGCACUUUGGAAAGAGAGUUAAACAGUACGUGAAAUUGUUGAAAGGGAAGCGCUUGCAAUCAGACUUGCGCGCAGUUGAUCAUCCGGUGUUCUCACCGGUGCACUCUGCUGCGUUCAGGCCAGCAUCGGUUUCGGUGGUUGGAUAAAGGCCUUGGGAACGUAGCUUCUUUCGGGAAGUGUUAUAGCCCUCGGUGCAAUGCAGCCUACCGGGACCGAGGACCGCGCUUCGGCUAGGAUGCUGGCGUAAUGGUUGUAAGCGACC